RNAcentral lists this ribosomal RNA (207 nucleotides) under uncultured bacterium. Its description in RNAcentral is "partial 16S ribosomal RNA". It matches the Rfam family "Bacterial small subunit ribosomal RNA", at positions 568 to 774 of the family's 1533-position model. The record is from RNAcentral.
CGCGUAGGCGGCUUCUCAAGCGUGCGGUGAAAGCUCGGGGCUUAACUCCGAGUCUGCCGUGCGAACUGGGAGGCUUGAGUCUGGUAGAGGUCGAUGGAAUUCCGGGUGUAGCGGUGGAAUGCGUAGAGAUCCGGAAGAACACCGGUGGCGAAGGCGGUCGACUGGGCCAGUACUGACGCUGAGGCGCGACAGCGUGGGGAGCAAACA